RNA transcript from Eublepharis macularius, 2997 nucleotides. RefSeq lists it as uncharacterized. NCBI's taxonomy places the organism in Eukaryota, Metazoa, Chordata, Lepidosauria, Squamata, Eublepharidae. The record is from RefSeq and is a predicted model, not a curated record. The transcript has 4 exons.
UUCAAAAGGGGGCGGAGCGAGCGGCAGAGCCAGGCAAGAGGGGAGGAAUGGAAGGCGGUUGGAACAGCCGUUGGAGGAGACCGGUAUACGGUUAUAACUGACAGGAGCGAAACCGACCAAUCAGGAAGCAGGAGCACCUCAAAUUACCUCAGGGGCGGGGACCCGGAAUAGCUCGGCUUGAGGGGCUCGAGAGAGCGACACCGGAAUUGCCCAUCGAGGGAGAGGCGUCGUGCCAAGCAGUUGAAAGAAGAUUGGGCUGCGAGAUGAGUGGGGAACCAAUGGGGGCCGGGAAAGGGUGGGACCUGAGCCUCUGGUUUCUGUGCGCGCGAGUCGACAGUUUGUUUUUAUGCCUUGCGAGGCCUGUAUGAGGGCAGAGACGAAAGGGAUGUGUAGCUUUCUGUCGUGCUACCUGCGUGUUUGGCAAAGAAAAUCCGUGAUUUUUUUUUUUUUGCUUCGAUCUCAACGGGCAACCGCUGUUCUCUCCGCGCUGGUGGACCGAAAGAGAUUUCUAAGGCCCGGUUCUGUGCUCGUUUACGUUGAAUGAAGGUGGAAGCUGACACUAAAAGACACUGGCAUAUUUUUCUUUGCAUAAAACUUGAACCAGGGCCUUUCCAGUUCAAGCUCACUGCGGCAACACGGUGUAUAAACUGUCAUAUAAAACGACAGGCCUGAAAAUCUUAAUUGGAACAAUAUAAUGAUGCACGGUUACGUUCUGAUGGCUACAACAAGCAAUGGCACACUUCAUGUUUUUCUAUGAAAAGCUCUGGAAGCCUCCAAAGAAGCAGGAGUACUCCUUGGGUCAGAAAGAAUGAUUAUGGGAUUAUGGGAGAAGGAGUGCCCAAGCGUAAGAUGUCCUCCUGUACUUCAAAUAAAAGGAAAUUUCAUGAUUCCCACCCUUUCUACCAAGGAACUAAGGAUGGUGUUCGUGUUUCCUUCCAUACACACACUUUAUCUGCACAGCAGCCUUCUGAGGUAUUUCGGCUAAGUGAGUGACUGGCCCAAAGUCACCUGGAGACUUGUUGGAGAGAAGCUGAACCUAGGUCUCAUCUGUCCUAUACCCAAUGGCUCUUACUGUGUUGAUUUUCAUUGUGGAUUAUAUGUUUUGAUUUUGUUUUAUGAAAAACAGCUUUCUGUGUCAUAAGGGCAGCAUAUGGUUUAAUCAAUUUUCACCAUGUUGAGAAGCACUGCGCUCCUGAAUCUGAGGUACUAGGAACCAACAAUAGGGGGUGGCCUCCUACAUGCCUGACUUGUGAGCCUGAAGACAUUUGGCUGACCACUGCUGGGAACAAUAGAUCAGAAGAACCCUGACUAGCCCACCGUUCUUUUAUUUUAAAGCGGACUUUUGUCCUUCGGGCUAAGCUAGGUAUUACAGUGACAGUUUCAUACAUUUUUUUUAUCCAUCAAGUAGGAAGAAGAAGGUGGAUCUGAUUUUAACAGCAAAUAGGGCCUCUGAAUGAGGUGUGCAGGAUCUUCCUUUUGCCAGUGGCUUAUUUUUCUAGACCAAAUAAUAGAAGUGAUCUUGUCUGGGCAAAAGGCAGCUGGGCAGAAAGGGCACUUGCUAGGAAGCGAGUGGUGUGAAAUUUGAGCUUUUUUCUCUUCCCUGGCGCAUGAACCAUUUGGUUGAGGAGAACCAGGGAGGGAAGCUGCAGAGACAUGAACUAUGGGUGUAUGCCAUGUUCAGUGUUUAAACACAUGAUACACAUCAGCUGUUUAAUAAACACAUGAAACUGCCACUGUUGUGUAUAGCCUUGUUCUUUAAUGGAUGGAUCUAUACAUAGAUGGCAUUUGCAGAUUUGUAGGCAGAGUAAGUCUGAAACUGUUGAGGCGUGUUCAUAAAGGGCCAGUGUGCUGGGCAGCCCAACAUGCCCCAGUUCAUCCAUGGCUCAGGAGUGUUUGCUUGGUAUCUUAUGAGUGCCCAGAGAGGAGUUUUCAGAUGCCUUUAUCUAUACUAUAAUGUGUCCCUAGUUCCCAACUUCCCACUUGUAACAGACCCACUUACUUUCUCGCUGUGUGUAUCAAGUUCUCUUGUGUACUUAAAAUGUACUUAUAUAGCUGGUGGCAGAAUAUCCGCUGAGAACUAAAAUAUUUGAACCCAUAUACAUUUAUGGCUGAAGUGUGCAUAUAUUGGUUGCUGAUAAAGAGAUAAAUGUAUGAUUUCUAGGUGGAAGUGUAAAGAAUGUUGCAAAGGAAAAUGUUCCAAAAUUGUGGUCUAGUCAGCCUCCAAAUUCUCACUGCCUGAAACUGGCUUAUAUUUUUGCUAUUUAUUUCCUAUCCCACUAUGAAAAGAUGCAUUUUCUUAUAACUACUCAUUAUUACCAAAUUAUAUAUGAUAAAUAUUAUAAGGAGGAUACAAUAUCUUUCUUGAGCUGUACUUUUAAAAUCCCUUCUAAGGCAUCUGAAUUCUCCAUGGAUUCGUAUGCAUCUACAGAGAGGAUGGCCUGCCCUCGGCCAAAAUAACAAUGCUUCACCUCUCUUCACCCUUCAUACCUUCAGCUCUGAGCUGCUGUGCCAUUAGCUGCCUCCACUAUUUAAUAUUGUUUCACCCAGUGUUGUCUCUUGCUCAGUUUGAGGCUAAUAAAUGGGGAUUCACAAGAGUAUGUUACUAAACAAGAAUGUGCAAGUCUUCACUGAACUCUCAAAUUAAAUUAACAGAAGGCAUUCAGUGGAUGAUAAAUUGCAGUGACUGUGUGCAUGCUGCUCCCUUCCAUUUCUGCCAGGACUCAGAAGAGAUCCAAAGGCAGUUUCUUCUUAAUGUGCUGUUCCUGUGAUUUGUUUGACGAAUAGUUAUGCUUCCCUGUAAGAUGUUUAAGUCUCCUCAUCUGACUUGUGUUUUACUGUUAUGCGUAGAAUAAACAAAAGCUUUAAAAACAGUAAUAUCUGCUUUUGCAGGUAAAUCUGACAGAGCAGGUUUAUUAAUUCGCCUCUAUCCAACACAUUUUUGUUAAUAAGUUUCACUUAUUAUUUCCUAGAAAAAUUUACCUUGAAUUAAAACAUACA